Long non-coding RNA from Pseudophryne corroboree (corroboree frog), 1256 nucleotides. RefSeq lists it as uncharacterized. NCBI's taxonomy places the organism in Eukaryota, Metazoa, Chordata, Amphibia, Anura, Myobatrachidae. The transcript is spliced from 3 exons. The record is from RefSeq and is a predicted model, not a curated record.
AUAUUUUAGGCGGGUUCCAAACCUUUUGGCUUUAUUUUGUAAGGUGGUCUUGAAAUCCUUCCCUCUCCUUUGGAAAACUAACCAUGUCUACUACAAAUGACAACAAUACUAUGAUCGGUAAAUGGCAAAGUGCAGACAAGUGUAACAGUAGACAAAGAGUACAAGAGAAUACAAAGGUUCUUACGUUGACCGUACUGCAUAGACCUUGAUUCAGGCACAGCCAGUUUGAGCUCUGUUAGUGAAUGAUUCCGAUGGUGCCCAAAACAAGCCCAUUCAGAGAUCGACACUAUUGACGCAGCAGUGAUGAGAAAAUAUGCUAAUGCUAAAGGACAAAAUAUGCUAAAGGACAAAAGAUGCCCACUGCUAGCGUCGAAGAUACGGGUACUGUGCCCUAAGAUGCAGAACUGGACCAUCAGCUACUCAGUAAGGCUACUCAGAAUGGCCGUCUCAGCUGCAUAGCUGAAUCAGGUGAAUCUGCUCUCUUCCAAUAUAUUUCAAACGGCUGGACACAGAAGAGAUGGAUUCUCACAUGCAAUUAUCAUUGAUCUGUAUGGAGAGGUUCCAAUGCAGUACAUACAGUACACGUUUAUUAGCAUUUUCUUCAGUUCUGUUCCAGCACCUGUUUCUGUAAAGCACGUAUACCUGCAAAGCGUACUUGUAUACACUCCCGAUUUUUCAGGCAGUCUGCACCUUCAGAAGAGUGGUUGUAUCUCCUGCAUACCACCUGCUUUCUAGUGAAGUGGGCAGUAUGAGGAGAUUACAUAGGGAAUUGCGGUACCAAAUGGAGGGGGUGGGGAUAAAUUAUGUGAUUUUGCAUCCCACCCCCCAAAGUGCCAAGCAGCAUUUCCUAUCCGGUCUUCUCCCAGAGUGGAGAACUGAAAUGUAGGUAAGUUCAGUAUACUACAAAGUGAUAUUUCUUCCUAGAGAUCAAUGGGCAUGAUUCUGAGGGUGGAGUAGACCAAAAAAGAGUAGGUAACUGUGUGCAUGGACAAACCAUGCUGGACUGCAAAGGGUGCAAAUACAUUUAUUGUUUUGCAUGCAGAAUAAAUAUUGAUUUGAAUUUGGACACGCCCCUCUCAAAUUUAAAUCUCCCUGCAUAUUUUAAAUCUGCCCCACCUGGGGUGCAACAUGGUUGUGCCAAGGUGCACAGUUACUUGCCCUUUUUUGCUUUACUCAACAAUAUGUCCUCCAUUCACCUGGUAAAGCAUGUGCAAUUGUAGACUGGAUUCUUAAAAAGCAAAUAAAGUCAUUAAACA